UUGAAACGUUACUAGUACGCACCGCUAACUAGCUAGCCAUUUCAUACCGGUUACACAAGUUAGCUAGCUAGUUCAUUUGGAACUGUAAGUGCAAGCAAGAUAGCUACAUUUAAUGUUAUCUGUCUUUGAUUUGAUUUUCUCAGAUGAGUAUAUUGAAAUAUUUCCAGCCACAGAAGUGAAAGAGAAAGGGGGACAAGUGUCAGGACCUCGAUGACCCAGUGGGUCUUGACGCAUUCAACAUCAAGGAGGAGGAGGAGUGGAGAGGGAGAAGCCAAGUGGAGAAGACCAAGACCAGGGAGCUGUUCUGGGCUCGGUUCAGGUAAUGGAUCCAUAUCUUGUUGGCCUCCAGGACAGCCUAGACCGGAGGUUCCAACACCUGGAGAUUCUGGGGGCCUUCAGUGUGUUGGGCCCUCAGGCUGCGUUCUCUAUUGAGAGGAUAAACACCUUCAACCUGACCCUCCUCUCCAGGCAGUUCUUGCAAGCGCCAGAGGCUGCUGUGCUGCAAGAGUGGCCCUCUUACAAGCAACAUGUGCUAGUUGGAGCAUUCAAGGUAUGGCAUGAGUGUGACAAUCUUUUGAAGAGAAUAUUUUAGGCCAGUGUUGUCCAACCCUUUUUCCUGCUGAACUACCACUCUGUUGGCUCUUCUUUAAUGUUGUACAUCUUUUAGUAUUUCAUGUAUUUCAGGGGUUGGACCAGCUGACGGCAAUGACAAAGCUGGCCUCGCAGUUUGAUGAGUGGGGGCAGUCUACCCCUGCCUUAGCCAGCUGGCUGCAAUCGCACUGACUAUACCAGUGUCUUCCGUUAAUUGUGAGAGGGACUUCUCUGCAAUGAAACGAGUGAAAAAAGACUUGAGGAACAGACUGCAAGGUGAGCAUCUAGCCGCCUCUCCAUCAACGGUCCCCCCAUCAAGGAGCUCAAUUACAGGAGGGUGUUGGAAAUCUUUUUCAAAAAGCCCAGAAGAAUAAUGUGCUCUGACAAAGGCUGUAAACUAUGUCUGCACUAGGUUUUGUCAGAACCCUCCUUUUGUGAUGAACAUGAAUUAGUGGGCUCUAAUUCAUGUUCAGUCAAAUGUUCCUCUGUUAAUUUUUUCAAGAUAAACUUUUUAUUUCAGAAAGAAGGUCUCUGUUGUGUUUCUUUAGAUAGCUGCAGCACUCAAACUUAAAUUGCAUCCUGUAUACUAUAAUCAUACAUUAUUGAGCUAAUUUCUGGGGAUGGAACUUAUAUUUUAGAUGGUUUAUUGGAGUUCUUUCCUUUUAAAAAGUCACCAGAACCAAGCUUUUCAGUCCUUAUACAUAUUUUGUUUUGUGGGGGAGGACCCCGGAACCCCCCUUCCUUAACCCAGAGGUGGCAGAAAUAAGUACUCGUGUUGGGGUGUAGAGUUGGAGCAUAGCCUGAAGGUAGGGAGAGGCAGUUCCUCUUGCUGCUCAGUAGGCAAGUACCAUGGUC
Molecule: long non-coding RNA, 1446 nt
Organism: Coregonus clupeaformis (lake whitefish)
Lineage: Eukaryota; Metazoa; Chordata; Actinopteri; Salmoniformes; Salmonidae
Exons: 4
Source: RefSeq, a predicted model, not a curated record